This 480-nucleotide ribosomal RNA is filed under the name uncultured bacterium. Its description in RNAcentral is "partial 16S ribosomal RNA". It matches the Rfam family "Bacterial small subunit ribosomal RNA", at positions 29 to 507 of the family's 1533-position model. The record is from RNAcentral.
AUGCACGCUGGCGGCGUGCUUAACACCUGCAAGUCGCACGAAGCACUUUAUUUGAUUUCCUUCGGGACUGAUUAUUUUGUGACUGAGUGGCGGACGGGUGAGUAACGCGUGGGUAACCUGCCUUGUACAGGGGGAUAACAGUUGGAAACGGCUGCUAAUACCGCAUAAGCGCACGGCAUCGCAUGAUGCAGUGUGAAAAACUCCGGUGGUAUAAGAUGGACCCGCGUUGGAUUAGCUAGUUGGUGAGGUAACGGCCCACCAAGGCGACGAUCCAUAGCCGACCUGAGAGGGUGACCGGCCACAGUGGGACUGAGACACGGCCCAAACUCCUACGGGAGGCAGCAGUGGGGAAUAUUGCACAAUGGGCGAAAGCCUGAUGCAGCGACGCCGCGUGAGCGAAGAAGUAUUUCGGUAUGUAAAGCUCUAUCAGCAGGGAAGAUAAUGACGGUACCUGACUAAGAAGCACCGGCUAAAUACGUG